Molecule: long non-coding RNA, 1128 nt
Organism: Falco peregrinus (peregrine falcon)
Lineage: Eukaryota; Metazoa; Chordata; Aves; Falconiformes; Falconidae
Exons: 6
Source: RefSeq, a predicted model, not a curated record
CAUGCUAUCCAGGCUGCAGCUGAGCCUGGUUAAGAGGUUGUUACCCAGAACCAGCUUCCAACUACUUCUUCCCUUCUUGCACAUCUUGCACCGAAUGUGACUGCACUCCAUCAGACAGGGCAGCAUAAUUCCACACGUAGGCACUCCCAGCCUGGUUCUGUCCGAAUGAGCCAGUUUCUGAAAGACAGCCUGAUUGUUAAAACCGGACUAACAAAAAUAAUUUCAAAAAAACUGGGUUAGAUAGAUCUGAAUGAGUAUCAUGCUGAUAACAGGGCUGGAUGGCAGCAAUGAGCUGCUGAACUGAGUGACAGGCUGAACCUGGUUUUAGUUGCCGCGACCUGGGACAUCUGAAUGGAGAGCUGCUGUCUCUGGAUGCUCAAGAGGGCAGUGAAAGGACCCAGACUCAAACUAGAGGCUGCUUUGCUGAGAGAAGCCGUUCCAUCCCAAAUUACCAGCUAUUUGGGUCUCAGCCUGCAAUCCUACUCAGCCAGGAGACUGUCCUCUAGACAAAGACUAAGAAAAUACGAGCUCAAGUGUGUCAUGGAAAAGUGCUGGAGCUCCAUCCUUCUCUCUCAAGCCAAGCCAGUUCCUGGAGAACUCUGGAUCUGCAAGUGAAAAGCAGUCAAGGUGGACUCUUCCCUGUUCCCACCAUAGACCUCUGUCAGCAGAGUGGAAUUGCAUCAUCUGUGUGGACUUUCUGGGCAAGGGAAAACACUGAACAGAAUUGGAUCUGAGACUUCCCUGCAGAUCUCUGGUGAAUCAACUUGAUAAUGCGUUGUUGGUGUUCACCUUCUGGGUGCGGCUGGAUACCCAGGCGUUCGGCAGCAGGCUCGCACUCGAGCAGUGGAAGUCCUGUAUUUCUUCAGGACAAACAAGUACUUGCUCUGCCAUUUAUGGUAACCAAGCUCUUCACCUAAGACCUGACAUAUCAAGGCUCCCAGAAAAUGGCACUGCUGUGCUGUUUGUAGCCCGGUGCUGGUGUUCAACGUGCUCCUGUUGAUCAGCUGCAGACCUGGGAAGACCUUCACCUCUUGCUCCCUCAGCCCAUCUCUGCCUUAAAUGCCUGUAGACCAGUAGCAAGAAGAAAGGAAUUAUUUGCAUUCAAUAAAAGAAAUAUUUCCUUUCAAA